UCCUACGGGGAGGCAGCAGUGGGGAAUAUUGCACAAUGGGCGCAAGCCUGAUGCAGCGACGCCGCGUGAGGGAUGACGGCCUUCGGGUUGUAAACCUCUUUCAGCAGGGAAGAAGCGCAAGUGACGGUACCUGCAGAAGAAGCGCCGGCUAACUACGUGCCAGCAGCCGCGGUAAUACGUAGGGCGCAAGCGUUGUCCGGAAUUAUUGGGCGUAAAGAGCUCGUAGGCGGCUUGUCACGUCGGGUGUGAAAGCCCGGGGCUUAACCCCGGGUCUGCAUUCGAUACGGGCUGGCUGGAGUGUGGUAGGGGAGAUCGGAAUUCCUGGUGUAGCGGUGAAAUGCGCAGAUAUCAGGAGGAACACCGGUGGCGAAGGCGGAUCUCUGGGCCAUUACUGACGCUGAGGAGCGAAGGUUUCCUC
Molecule: ribosomal RNA, 418 nt
Filed under: Streptomyces sp.
Lineage: Bacteria; Bacillati; Actinomycetota; Actinomycetes; Kitasatosporales; Streptomycetaceae
Description: bacterial SSU rRNA
Rfam family: Bacterial small subunit ribosomal RNA
Source: RNAcentral